AUUUCCUUCUCCAUUUCUGUGAGCUCUUCCAGGAUGUGCUGGGUGAGACAGGUUCGAGUUGGAUGGACAGUGCUACAGAGUAAUACCCUCUGUGAGAGACAACGGGCAGUGGGAGCUGAGGUCUACCAGGGUCUCCUGAGAAGACACUUUCAGUUCUGGCAGAACCCUGUUUUAGUCUGUUGGGCCUUUACUCCCACUGAGGGCAGAGAGAGUCUCCCUGAUGCCUUUGUUGGAUGCUGAUCUGGAAUCAGUCUGCACAUGGCCUUUCCUUUUGAAGGCAAAGUACACUUUUAUUUGCCAAAGUUAACAAACAGCAGCAUCAGAACCUAUCCCUGAACAGUUUGAGACUUUAGCCUCUCCAUUCCGUCUGUUGGAUGGAAUGGAUCCACUCCACUGCCUUCUGAGCCAAAGCCUGCAGCCCUUCUACUGGAUUUAUUUAGUGAUGCCUUUUAUUUCAAGAAGUAUGAACUGAGUAAAACUUGAGGGAGAACUAAUGGAUUCACCCCAGAGACAGCAGAAGGAUGUUCUUCACUUCUCAGACUUCUUUAGGAGCAGUGACGGGACAGGCUGCCCUGUGUGGAUCCUCUUUGCAGACAGACAUGACCUGUGGAAAAUGGAGGUGCAUUUCUGAGGGGCAAAUCAGGGGAAAUCCACGGCCAGUGACUCUACAGACUAAAAGGCAAGUUAGCUGUGUAGAUACCAGGGUAUCAAAGGGCCUGUAGGACAUGAGGCAUUGGUGGAAAUUGGAAUUAAGUGUUUUGUUUGUCAUCUCUAUGGACACGAGGCCACAAAGCACCACGAAGAGAAGCUGACCAUGGAAUCUCUGGAGCUGGAAAUGCCACAGACUCAGGGCCUUGUUUCUGUAGCUGCCAUGAGUUACACUGCUCAAAUCAAACAGGACCUUUUCCUCAUGUCCACAGCUAAUUUUUCCUGGUUAAAUACGAUUGAAGGAUUGUACUCAUUGACUGUUACACAUCAGAGACUGAUCUGCGGCUGCAUUAACUGACUGUGUUCCCAUGGAUCUUUGUAUUCCUGCACAUUCUGAGAGCUGCUGCUCCAAAGUGAAGCCAACUUUUCCUUAUCAUCCCUAUUUUUAAAGCAUGGGCUCAUUGUUUGAUCUGGCAGAUUUCAUUUCAGUGCUCUGAGGUUUAGAGAGGCUGUUUCUAAUACAAAGCCUUAUUGCCACCCCCCUGCUGUACAUGUUUCACUUGAACUUUUCAUAAGUACUGCAAAACUUGAGGGAAGUAAGCAAAGCGUAGGUGGUGCUGAAGUCCAAUACUUCGAUCACGAUCCAUUUCUGCAGACAUGCUGCUUCAUUCCCGUCUAUAGGGGAAUCUAUUCCCACCUGUAAUCUCCUAUUGAAAGCAAUUAUUUGAUAUCACAAACUUUUUAAGCACAUCUGAAGUGAGAAGUGAAAGGCCAUUGGUUUUCAUUUCCCGCAGCG
Molecule: long non-coding RNA, 1444 nt
Organism: Pipra filicauda (Wire-tailed manakin)
Lineage: Eukaryota; Metazoa; Chordata; Aves; Passeriformes; Pipridae
Exons: 5
Source: RefSeq, a predicted model, not a curated record